Molecule: ribosomal RNA, 484 nt
Filed under: uncultured bacterium
Lineage: Bacteria
Description: partial 16S ribosomal RNA
Rfam family: Bacterial small subunit ribosomal RNA
Source: RNAcentral
AUUGAACGCUGGCGGCAGGCCUAACACAUGCAAGUCGAGCGGAUGAAGGGAGCUUGCUCCUGGAUUCAGCGGCGGACGGGUGAGUAAUGCCUAGGAAUCUGCCUGGUAGUGGGGGAUAACGUCCGGAAACGGGCGCUAAUACCGCAUACGUCCUGAUGGUGAAAGUGGGGGAUCUUCGGACCUCACGCUAUCAGAUGAGCCUAGGUGGGAUUAGCUAGUUGGUGGGGUAAAGGCCUACCAAGGCGACGAUCCGUAACUGGUCUGAGAGGAUGAUCAGUCACACUGGAACUGAGACACGGUCCAGACUCCUACGGGAGGCAGCAGUGGGGAAUAUUGGACAAUGGGCGAAAGCCUGAUCCAGCCAUGCCGCGUGUGUGAAGAAGGUCUUCGGAUUGUAAAGCACUUUAAGUUGGGAGGAAGGGCAGUAAGUUAAUACCUUGCUGUUUUGACGUUACCAACAGAAUAAGCACCGGCUAACUUCGUG